AACGAACGCUGGCGGCAUGCCUAACACAUGCAAGUCGAACGAGACCUUCGGGCCUAGUGGCGCACGGGUGCGUAACGCGUGGGAACCUGCCUUUAGGUUCGGAAUAACUCAGAGAAAUUUGAGCUAAUACCGGAUGAUGUCUUCGGACCAAAGAUUUAUCGCCUUUAGAUGGGCCUGCGUUGGAUUAGCUAGUUGGUGGGGUAAAGGCCUACCAAGGCGACGAUCCAUAGCUGGUCUGAGAGGAUGAUCAGCCACACUGGGACUGAGACACGGCCCAGACUCCUACGGGAGGCAGCAGUGGGGAAUAUUGGACAGUGGGCGAAGGCCUGAUCCAGCAAUGCCGCGUGAGUGAUGAAGGCCUUAGGGUUGUAAAGCUCUUUUACCCGAGAUGAUAAUGACAGUAUCGGGAGAAUAAGCUCCGGCUAACUCCGUG
RNAcentral lists this ribosomal RNA (433 nucleotides) under uncultured bacterium. Its description in RNAcentral is "partial 16S ribosomal RNA". It matches the Rfam family "Bacterial small subunit ribosomal RNA", at positions 29 to 507 of the family's 1533-position model. The record is from RNAcentral.